AAAAAUUAAAAGAAGAAGUGAAAAGGAGGGGAGUCAAACCAGGUGCCUCUCACAUGCAAAAUCAACGCCAUACCAAAUGAGCUACGAUCAUAUCUGUCAAGGAUGGUACAAUUUUACAUAUUUAGCAUAAUAACUUCAUCAACAUAAAAUCCCUUUCCUACCAGAGCCAGCAUGGGUAGUCGCGCCGGCUCGCCGGGUGCUGGCUCCGCCCCUGUAGACUGUUACGUUUCACAUUUCAUGCACCAAGUGUCAAUACAGUUCACAUUUUUUGACACAUCGACCUAGAAAUAAGUACACACUAACCCGACUAUGGGACCUAAAUCACCUUUUGAACAUGUAACUUGGUAUGAAGAGUGGAUUUCUGAUGUACAUAAAAGUUUGAUAUGGAGGAGGACAUUAUUA
This 402-nucleotide long non-coding RNA is filed under the name Olea europaea (common olive). RNAcentral describes it as "long non-coding RNA (OEUR_LNC003623)". Lineage: Eukaryota; Viridiplantae; Streptophyta; Magnoliopsida; Lamiales; Oleaceae. The record is from RNAcentral.